GAUGAACGCUGGCGGCGUGCCUAAUACAUGCAAGUCGAGCGAACAGAUGAGGAGCUUGCUCCUCUGACGUUAGCGGCGGACGGGUGAGUAACACGUGGAUAACCUACCUAUAAGACCGGGAUAACUUCGGGAAACCGGAGCUAAUACCGGAUAAUAUAUUGAACCGCAUGGUUCAAUAGUGAAAGACGGUUUUGCUGUCACUUAUAGAUGGAUCCGCGCCGCAUUAGCUAGUUGGUAAGGUAACGGCUUACCAAGGCAACGAUGCGUAGCCGACCUGAGAGGGUGAUCGGCCACACUGGAACUGAGACACGGUCCAGACUCCUACGGGAGGCAGCAGUAGGGAAUCUUCCGCAAUGGGCGAAAGCCUGACGGAGCAACGCCGCGUGAGUGAUGAAGGUCUUCGGAUCGUAAAACUCUGUUAUUGGGGAAGAACAAAUGUGUAAGUAACUAUGCACGUCUUGACGGUACCUAAUCAGAAAGCCACGGCUAACUACGUG
RNAcentral lists this ribosomal RNA (497 nucleotides) under uncultured bacterium. RNAcentral's name for it is "partial 16S ribosomal RNA". It matches the Rfam family "Bacterial small subunit ribosomal RNA", at positions 28 to 507 of the family's 1533-position model. The record is from RNAcentral.